UACGUAGGGUGCAAGCGUUGUCCGGAAUUAUUGGGCGUAAAGAGCUCGUAGGCGGUUCGUCGCGUCGGCUGUGAAAACCUGAGGCUCAACCUCAGGCCUGCAGUCGAUACGGGCGGACUUGAGUACUGCAGGGGAGACUGGAAUUCCUGGUGUAGCGGUGGAAUGCGCAGAUAUCAGGAGGAACACCGGUGGCGAAGGCGGGUCUCUGGGCAGUAACUGACGCUGAGGAGCGAAAGCGUGGGGAGCGAACAGG
This 253-nucleotide ribosomal RNA is filed under the name uncultured bacterium. RNAcentral's name for it is "partial 16S ribosomal RNA". It matches the Rfam family "Bacterial small subunit ribosomal RNA", at positions 524 to 776 of the family's 1533-position model. The record is from RNAcentral.